RNAcentral lists this ribosomal RNA (506 nucleotides) under uncultured bacterium. RNAcentral's name for it is "partial 16S ribosomal RNA". It matches the Rfam family "Bacterial small subunit ribosomal RNA", at positions 28 to 523 of the family's 1533-position model. The record is from RNAcentral.
GAUGAACGCUAGCUACAGGCUUAACACAUGCAAGUCGAGGGGUAACGAGAGGAAAGCUUGCUUUCCUUGUCGACGACCGGCGCACGGGUGAGUAACGCGUAUCCAACCUGCCCCCAACUAGGGAAUAACCUUGCGAAAGUAAGACUAAUACCCUAUAAUUUCCUCAGAUGUCAUCUGACGAGGAAUAAAGCUUUAUCGGUUGUGGAUGGGGAUGCGUCUGAUUAGCUUGUUGGCGGGGUAACGGCCCACCAAGGCAACGAUCAGUAGGGGUUCUGAGAGGAAGUGCCGCCACAUUGGAACUGAGACACGGUCCAAACUCCUACGGGAGGCAGCAGUGAGGAAUAUUGGUCAAUGGGCGGAAGCCUGAACCAGCCAAGUAGCGUGCAGGAUGACGGCCCUAUGGGUUGUAAACUGCUUUUAUACAGGAAUAAAGUUAGCCACGUGUGGUUAUUUGUAGGUACUGUAUGAAUAAGGACCGGCUAAUUCCGUGCCAGCCGCCGCCGUAA